This 905-nucleotide long non-coding RNA is filed under the name Trifolium pratense (red clover). RNAcentral's name for it is "long non-coding RNA (TPRA_LNC000768)". Lineage: Eukaryota; Viridiplantae; Streptophyta; Magnoliopsida; Fabales; Fabaceae. The record is from RNAcentral.
UAAACUCUAUUUAAAUAUACAACCAAUAACAACAUCUACAUUCAAUGUAGUCAGGUUCGAGAUCCUACGUUGGAUCGGUAGGCUGGUUGAGAAUCGUAAGAUCGGGAUCGUAGCUCGAUUCGUAAGAUCAUACUCAAGGGUAAAAUUGUAACUUCACAUAUAUACAUAUACACAUAAACAUAAAAAAUAUAAUAAAUAUAAUACAUGAACAAAAUGAACUUAAUUAAUUAAUAUUUCAUAGACAUCAUUCCAAAUGUUCAUAAGUUCAUAACAGAGAGGGUUAUAAGAAGCAACAAUAGGGUUAAAAAAAACAAAAUGAAAACAGAGGGUUGAAACUUGAGAGUGAAAGAGAUGAGUUCAGAAGGUUUCAGUGAAGAAAGAUGUUUGAGUGAAAGAGAUGGUUGAAAGUAAGAGAGGAGUGAACGAAAAUGAGAAAGGAGUAGGAACAAACAUACACUAACCGCCGGCGAGGUUCACGAUGGCGACAACGCGGUCUAGAGUUCAGGUCAAAAACCCUCUAGGAUCGUAAGAACCUAUGACCCGGUGCGAGAACCUAACUACACACAGGUCAAAAAAGGAGCCUGCAUGUGUUCUAAGCUCGUUUGGCCUGCACGAACUCGUUGGAUCUUAAGAACCUAAGACCCGGUGCGAAAAUACCUGACUACAUUAUCUACAUUGAAUCUCAUUCCAUGAAACUUGACAAUAUCUUGCCUAAGCUUCCUAGUAUCAUUCCCAUAUACUUACAAAUGCAAUCCUUNNNNNNNNNNNNNNNNNNNNNNNNNNNNNNNNNNNNNNNNAACGGCAACAUACAAUUCAAGAUGCUAGGAAUUGUCUUCAUUUCUUCCUUGAUACAUUUUAAAUUAAAAGCAGCUCACAUGCCCCUACAAAUUAAACACAAGAAAACA